This 115-nucleotide non-coding RNA is filed under the name bovine gut metagenome. RNAcentral's name for it is "THF riboswitch". It matches the Rfam family "THF (Tetrahydrofolate) riboswitch aptamer". From Rfam's summary of the family: THF riboswitch presents a pseudoknot that joins P1-P2 and the loop of P3 and two THF binding. The record is from RNAcentral.
GUAGAGUAGGUUCUGUGCGUUAAGUGCCGCGUGUACGGGAUGUUGACCGCGGACGAAGGCUCCAGGCUGUCUUUGAAUGGGCAAAUGGGGGCCGCGAUACAGUGCCGCGUCCGCU